UCGAGCGGACAGAUGGGAGCUUGCUCCCUGAUGUUAGCGGCGGACGGGUGAGUAACACGUGGGUAACCUGCCUGUAAGACUGGGAUAACUCCGGGAAACCGGGGCUAAUACCGGAUGCUUGUUUGAACCGCAUGGUUCAAACAUAAAAGGUGGCUUCGGCUACCACUUACAGAUGGACCCGCGGCGCAUUAGCUAGUUGGUGAGGUAACGGCUCACCAAGGCGACGAUGCGUAGCCGACCUGAGAGGGUGAUCGGCCACACUGGGACUGAGACACGGCCCAGACUCCUACGGGAGGCAGCAGUAGGGAAUCUUCCGCAAUGGACGAAAGUCUGACGGAGCAACGCCGCGUGAGUGAUGAAGGUUUUCGGAUCGUAAAGCUCUGUUGUUAGGGAAGAACAAGUGCCGUUCAAAUAGGGCGGCACCUUGACGGUACCUAACCAGAAAGCCACGGCUAACUACGUGCCAGCAGCCGCGGUAAUACGUAGGUGGCAAGCGUUGUCCGGAAUUAUUGGGCGUAAAGGGCUCGCAGGCGGUUUCUUAAGUCUGAUGUGAAAGCCCCCGGCUCAACCGGGGAGGGUCAUUGGAAACUGGGGAACUUGAGUGCAGAAGAGGAGAGUGGAAUUCCACGUGUAGCGGUGAAAUGCGUAGAGAUGUGGAGGAACACCAGUGGCGAAGGCG
Molecule: ribosomal RNA, 679 nt
Filed under: Bacillus amyloliquefaciens
Lineage: Bacteria; Bacillati; Bacillota; Bacilli; Caryophanales; Bacillaceae
Description: bacterial SSU rRNA
Rfam family: Bacterial small subunit ribosomal RNA
Source: RNAcentral